AGCGAACGCUGGCGGCAGGCUUAACACAUGCAAGUCGAGCGCCCCGCAAGGGGAGCGGCAGACGGGAGAGUAACACGUGGGAACAUACCUUUUGGUUCGGAACAACUGAGGGAAACUUCAGCUAAUACCGGAUAUGCCCUUACGGGGAAAGAUUUAUCGCCGAAAGAUUGGCCCGCGUCUGAUUAGCUAGUUGGUGAGGUAACGGCUCACCAAGGCGACGAUCAGUAGCUGGUCUGAGAGGAUGAUCAGCCUCACUGGGACUGAGACACGGCCCAGACUCCUACGGGAGGCAGCAGUGGGGAAUAUUGGACAAUGGGGGCAACCCUGAUCCAGCCAUGCCGCGUGAGUGAUGAAGGCCUUAGGGUUGUAAAGCUCUUUUGCCCGGGAAGAUAAUGACGGUACCGGGAGAAUAAGCCCCGGCUAACUUCGUG
This 431-nucleotide ribosomal RNA is filed under the name uncultured bacterium. RNAcentral describes it as "partial 16S ribosomal RNA". It matches the Rfam family "Bacterial small subunit ribosomal RNA", at positions 29 to 507 of the family's 1533-position model. The record is from RNAcentral.